AAAGAUCAUGUUACCCCUAGUAAUGUAUUAGAAGUUAUUAAAUGACAUGCUAAAAGUAGGGGCAUUGUUGGAAAAAGUGCUAAAAAAGUCUCAUAAAGACCCUACCAUAGGGACUUCUUCCUUUAGUCCCAAAUACCCCCUUUUAGUCCCGAAAAGUCCGUCCUGUUUGUUUCACAUGAGACUAAAAGGGACUUUUUUAGUCCCUACACUAAAAAGUCCAUGGAAACAAACACCCCCUAUAUAUUCCUUUGUUCGUAUAAAAAGCAACCUCAUGCAGUACAGUGGGAGCCACUGAUGUGAGGCCCCACAGCCGAUAGUCGGUGUUACUACUCUACCUCUGCACUUAGGAGCUCCGCUUCUCUAUGCCCUAGUUUGUCGCUCACCUCUUUUCGGGUGGUGGCGGGUGGAGGAGGUCAAUGUUAUCAUUGACCUUGGCGGAAGAUGGUUUGGUGGUUGCUCAAUCCAGCUCCGAACAGGAUCCCAUGAGCCCGAAACAUCGACGUCGGUGCUCCAAAUGAAGGCAUAGAAGGCACCGGGAAUUUUUGAUGAAUCGUCAGAAUUACAACAUGCACUGCAGAAUUGGUUGUCGCUUCUCUGUGGUACAGUUUCUGAAGGGCAAACAAGGUAAUCAGGGUGGAUGAUAGAGGUUCUCGUAUCGAAGGGAAAAUGAGUGUUCAGAGUGGCUGCCACUACUUCCUGGACUCCUGGUCCAUUUUCCUAUAGGCAAGCAUGAUGGGCGCCAUAGUUGUCGUUUGUGUAUAUAUGCAGCUUAAAGCUUGGUCUUAGCAAAGCAUGCAGUAGCUAGCUGGCCCCGAUGUUAUCCCUGAGUAAUACAUUUUGAAACCAAAUUUCAUGCAGCUAGCUAUUCCUGUAAAAAUCGUCUGUAUGCCAGAUAAACCUCUUCGGACAAACUAGUAAAAUUUUCAACAACAAGUCAUUGCAACACCAAAA
Long non-coding RNA from Hordeum vulgare subsp. vulgare (domesticated barley), 951 nucleotides. RefSeq lists it as uncharacterized. The transcript has 2 exons. The record is from RefSeq and is a predicted model, not a curated record. NCBI's taxonomy places the organism in Eukaryota, Viridiplantae, Streptophyta, Magnoliopsida, Poales, Poaceae.